AAAAAAAAAGAAGGAAAGGCUCUCAAAAAAUCAAUUAGGGUUUAGUAUACACAAACGAGAAAACAAAACUGCUUUCGGCUGCCUUAUUAUUUCACUCACAACAGAAACUGCUUUCGGCUGCCCUCUCAUCUCACUUCCAAAUGGGUUCUCUAUCUUUGCCUGGUCCCGGCGUACCUCCUGGUCCCGGCGAACCUCCUGGUCCCGGCGAACCUCCUGGCCCCGGCGAACCUCCUGGCCCCGGCGAACCUCCUGGUCCCGGCGAACCUCCUGGCCCCGGCGAACCUCCUG
This 288-nucleotide long non-coding RNA is filed under the name Eutrema salsugineum. RNAcentral describes it as "long non-coding RNA (ESAL_LNC000675)". Lineage: Eukaryota; Viridiplantae; Streptophyta; Magnoliopsida; Brassicales; Brassicaceae. The record is from RNAcentral.